UUUAUAGUUUAAAAAACAUCUACUUUGGAUGUAGAAAAAUCUAGAUUUUAAUAAAAAU
RNAcentral lists this transfer RNA (58 nucleotides) under Tetragnatha similis. RNAcentral describes it as "tRNA-Pro". Lineage: Eukaryota; Metazoa; Arthropoda; Arachnida; Araneae; Tetragnathidae. The record is from RNAcentral.